This 404-nucleotide ribosomal RNA is filed under the name uncultured bacterium. RNAcentral describes it as "bacterial SSU rRNA". It matches the Rfam family "Bacterial small subunit ribosomal RNA", at positions 354 to 774 of the family's 1533-position model. The record is from RNAcentral.
GUAGGGAAUAUUGCAAAAUGGGCGAAAGCCCGAUGCAGCAACGCCGCGUGGGCGAUGAAGGCCUUCGGGUCGUAAAGCCCUUUUUGAGGGGAUGAGGAAGGACAGUACCCUCAGAAUAAGCCUCGGCUAACUACGUGCCAGCAGCCGCGGUAAAACGUAGGAGGCGAGCGUUAUCCGGAUUUACUGGGCGUAAAGCGCGUGCAGGCGGAUUGGAGAGUUGGAUGUGAAAGCUCCCGGCUUAACUGGGAGAGGUCGUUCAAUACUUCCAGUCUUGAGUGCAGUAGAGGGAAGUGGAAUUCCGGGUGUAGUGGUGAAAUGCGUAGAUAUCAGGAGGAACACCGGCGGUGUAGACGGCUUGCUAGACCAUAACUGACGCUGAGGCACGAAAGCGUGGGUAGCAAACA